UAGGGAAUCUUCCGCAAUGGACGCAAGUCUGACGGAGCAACGCCGCGUGAGUGAAGAAGGAUUUCGGUUCGUAAAACUCUGUUGUUAGAGAAGAACAGCGCAUAGAGUAACUGUUAUGCGUGUGACGGUAUCUAACCAGAAAGCCACGGCUAACUACGUGCCAGCAGCCGCGGUAAUACGUAGGUGGCAAGCGUUGUCCGGAUUUAUUGGGCGUAAAGCGAGCGCAGGCGGUCAAUUAAGUCUGAUGUGAAAGCCUCCGGCUCAACCGGGGAGGGUCAUUGGAAACUGGUUGACUUGAGUGCAGAAGAGGAGAGUGGAAUUCCAUGUGUAGCGGUGAAAUGCGUAGAUAUAUGGAGGAACACCAGUGGCGAAGGCGACUCUCUGGUCUGUAACUGACGCUGAGGCUCGAAAGCGUGGGUAGCAAACAGG
This 429-nucleotide ribosomal RNA is filed under the name Bacteroidota bacterium. RNAcentral's name for it is "Bacteroidetes bacterium partial 16S ribosomal RNA". It matches the Rfam family "Bacterial small subunit ribosomal RNA", at positions 355 to 776 of the family's 1533-position model. Lineage: Bacteria; Pseudomonadati; Bacteroidota. The record is from RNAcentral.